RNAcentral lists this ribosomal RNA (253 nucleotides) under uncultured bacterium. RNAcentral describes it as "partial 16S ribosomal RNA". It matches the Rfam family "Bacterial small subunit ribosomal RNA", at positions 524 to 776 of the family's 1533-position model. The record is from RNAcentral.
UACGUAGGGGGCUAGCGUUGUCCGGAAUCAUUGGGCGUAAAGGGCUCGUAGGCGGUUUGUCGCGUCGGGAGUGAAAUCCACUGGCUUAACUGGUGGCUUGCUUUCGAUACGGGCAGACUGGAGGUAUGCAGGGGAGAACGGAAUUCCUGGUGUAGCGGUGAAAUGCGCAGAUAUCAGGAGGAACACCGGUGGCGAAGGCGGCCCUCUGGACGGUGACUGACGCUGAGACGCGAAAGCGUGGGGAGCAAACAGG